CUGUUGCGGGGAAAUUAAAUGCACAUGACUGUCCAUGCCGCCUGCGGUCAGGAGCAUGCCCUCACCGGCAAUGAUUUCGGUAUUGGGGCCAAUUAACAUGGUUACCUGUGGUUGCACAUUGGGAUUGCCGGCCUUACCUAAAGCGGCAAUGCGGCCAUGCUUAAUGCCGACAUCGCAUUUGAUAAUGCCCUGAUAGUCGACCACAAUGGCAUUGGUGAUGACGGUGUCCAUGGUAUCUUCGUCGGCAAAUUGGCCUUGUCCCAUGCCAUCGCG
RNAcentral lists this small RNA (273 nucleotides) under chicken gut metagenome. RNAcentral describes it as "5' ureB small RNA". It matches the Rfam family "5' ureB small RNA". The record is from RNAcentral.